This is a small nuclear RNA of Vombatus ursinus (common wombat), 104 nucleotides long. NCBI's taxonomy places the organism in Eukaryota, Metazoa, Chordata, Mammalia, Diprotodontia, Vombatidae. The record is from Ensembl.
GUGCUCUCUUUGGCAGCACAUAUAUUGAAAUGGGAAUGAUACAAAGAUUAGCAUGGUCCUUGAAUAAGGAUAACACACAAAUCUGUGGAAGGUUGUGCCUUCUC